GAUGAACGCUAGCGGCAGGCUUAACACAUGCAAGUCGAGGGGUAUAGGGAGCUUGCUUCCUAGAGACCGGCGCACGGGUGCGUAACGCGUAUGCAAUCUACCUUUCACAGAGGGAUAGCCCAGAGAAAUUUGGAUUAAUACCUCAUAGUAUAGCAGCUUCGCAUGAAACCACUAUUAAAGUCACAACGGUGAAAGAUGAGCAUGCGUCCCAUUAGCUAGUUGGUAAGGUAACGGCUUACCAAGGCAACGAUGGGUAGGGGUCCUGAGAGGGAGAUCCCCCACACUGGUACUGAGACACGGACCAGACUCCUACGGGAGGCAGCAGUGAGGAAUAUUGGGACAAUGGGACGCGAAAGCCUGAGUCCAGCCAUGCCGCGUGCAGGAUGACGGUCCUAUGGAUUGUAAACUGCUUUUGUACAGGUAGAAACACUGGUUCGUGAACCAGCUUGACGGUACUGUAAGAAUAAGGAUCGGCUAACUCCGUG
RNAcentral lists this ribosomal RNA (485 nucleotides) under uncultured bacterium. RNAcentral's name for it is "bacterial SSU rRNA". It matches the Rfam family "Bacterial small subunit ribosomal RNA", at positions 28 to 507 of the family's 1533-position model. The record is from RNAcentral.